AUGCUGCAAGGUGCGCCGGCCCUAAGGGAAUUGGAUUUAUUAUCCUGCGGCUGCUUGGAAUCUUUAGAUCUGCAUUACUGCACGGCACUGGAAAGGGUGGAGGUUGUUGACUGUUGUUUGAUCGGGGAAGUCAAGGGCUUGCAUAAGUUGCAAUCCCUCAGAAAUUUCGAUCUAUCUAACAGCGAAUUUUUGAAAUCUCUAGAGCUGCAUUCCUGCACGGCACUGCAAGAGUUGAGUACUUGGACCUGUUAUUCGCUCAAGGUGCUAGAGGGCCUUGAAUCCCUCAGCAGCCUGAGGCGAUUGACAAUAUGCAAUGCAUUGGAGCUUUUGUCAGGGCAGCAGGGUUAUGAACAAUGCCCUCGACUGGAAAGCCUUCAAAUCGACGACUUCAAUGCCCUUACCACAUCGUUCUUCCGCAAACUACGUGCAUCACUCCAAAAACUAAGUGAAGUGGAGAGACUGACGGAAGAGCAAGAAAGUGAACUUCUGCUCCUCAGUUCCUUGGGACAUCUUGAUUUCUCUAUUCUACCAUAUCUCGAAGAUCUUCCUGCGGGGCUCCACAGCCAUCCUUCCCUCAAGAGGUUGGUGAUCAGCAGAUGUCCGAGAAUCUCGAGGCUUCCAGAAAAGGGCCUCCCGCCUUCUCUGGAAAAGUUGGAGACCUGGUUUUGCAGCGACGAGCUAAAUGAUCAAUGCAGAAUGCUAGCAUCAAGCAAGCUACGAGUCCAAACUCUUCCGCACAUGACCUGA
RNAcentral lists this ribosomal RNA (747 nucleotides) under Triticum aestivum (bread wheat). RNAcentral describes it as "partial small subunit ribosomal RNA". The record is from RNAcentral. Lineage: Eukaryota; Viridiplantae; Streptophyta; Magnoliopsida; Poales; Poaceae.